ACGAACGCUGGCGGCAUGCCUAACACAUGCAAGUCGAACGGAGAUUAUUUCGGUAAUCUUAGUGGCGAACGGGUGAGUAACGCGUAGGCAACCUGCCCUUUAGUUGGGGACAACAUUCCGAAAGGGGUGCUAAUACCGAAUGUGACAGUUUUCUCGCAUGAGAUUACUGUGAAAGAUGGCCUCUAUUUAUAAGCUAUCGCUAAAGGAUGGGCCUGCGUCUGAUUAGCUAGUUGGUGGGGUAACGGCCUACCAAGGCGAUGAUCAGUAGCCGGUCUGAGAGGAUGAACGGCCACAUUGGGACUGAGACACGGCCCAGACUCCUACGGGAGGCAGCAGUGGGGAAUCUUCCGCAAUGGGCGAAAGCCUGACGGAGCAAUGCCGCGUGAGUGAUGAAGGAAUUCGUUCCGUAAAGCUCUUUUGUUUAUGACGAAUGUGCAGACUGUGAAUAAUGGUUUGUAAUGACGGUAGUAAACGAAUAAGCCACGGCUAACUACGUG
This 497-nucleotide ribosomal RNA is filed under the name uncultured bacterium. RNAcentral describes it as "bacterial SSU rRNA". It matches the Rfam family "Bacterial small subunit ribosomal RNA", at positions 29 to 507 of the family's 1533-position model. The record is from RNAcentral.